GAUGAGUCAGCUUGUCUUUGAAAUAAAUGAAGAACACAGAGUUAGACCACAGGACAAGAGGUCGGGAACAAAACCUGCUUAUGCACAUGAUGCAUGCAAUGCUUGUGCAUAUGAUUUUUUUAUUUAUUUCAAAGGAACUCUAGGGUUUUAUUUGCAAAUUUUGGAAAUAUUAAACAUUUAUCACAUAUGGAAAUAUCUCAUCAAAUAAUAUCA
This 213-nucleotide long non-coding RNA is filed under the name Lathyrus oleraceus (garden pea). RNAcentral's name for it is "Pisum sativum (pea) long non-coding RNA (PSAT_LNC015725)". Lineage: Eukaryota; Viridiplantae; Streptophyta; Magnoliopsida; Fabales; Fabaceae. The record is from RNAcentral.